AGGACGAACGCUGGCGGCGUGCUUAACACAUGCAAGUCGAACGGUGAAGCCUUCGGGUGGAUCAGUGGCGAACGGGUGAGUAACACGUGAGUAAUCUGCCCUUGACUCUGGGAUAACUUCGGGAAACCGGAGCUAAUACUGGAUAUGACACAUAAUCGCAUGGUUUGUGUGUGGAAAGAUUUAUUGGUCAGGGAUGAGCUCGCGGCCUAUCAGCUUGUUGGUGGGGUAAUGGCCUACCAAGGCGACGAC
This 249-nucleotide ribosomal RNA is filed under the name uncultured soil bacterium. RNAcentral's name for it is "partial 16S ribosomal RNA". It matches the Rfam family "Bacterial small subunit ribosomal RNA", at positions 26 to 280 of the family's 1533-position model. The record is from RNAcentral.